This 460-nucleotide ribosomal RNA is filed under the name uncultured bacterium. RNAcentral describes it as "partial 16S ribosomal RNA". It matches the Rfam family "Bacterial small subunit ribosomal RNA", at positions 338 to 795 of the family's 1533-position model. The record is from RNAcentral.
CCUACGGGUGGCAGCAGUGAGGAAUAUUGGUCAAUGGACGAGAGUCUGAACCAGCCAAGUAGCGUGAAGGAUGACUGCCCUAUGGGUUGUAACCUUCUUUUAUAAAGGAAUAAAACGAGGCACGUGUGCCUUUUUGCAUGUACUUUAUGAAUAAGGAUCGGCUAACUCCGUGCCAGCAGCCGCGGUAAUACGGAGGCUCCGAGUGUUAUCCGGAUGUAUUGGGUUUAAAGGGAGCGUAGAUGGGUUGUUAAGUCAGUUGUGAAAGUUUGCGGUUCAACCGUAAAAUUGCAAUUGAUACUGGCAGUCUUGAGUAUAGUUGAGGUAGGCGGAAUUCGUGGUGUAGCGGUGAAAUGCUUAGAUAUCACGAAGAACCCCGAUUGCGAAGGCAGCUUACUAAACUGUGACUGACAUUGAUGCUCGAAAGUGUGGGUAUCAAACAGGAUUAGAUACCCCUGUAGUC